CUACGGGUUGCUGCAGUGGGGAAUAUUGGACAAUGGGGGAAACCCUGAUCCAGCAAUGCCGCGUGUGUGAAGAAGGCCUGCGGGUUGUAAAGCACUUUCGGUUGGGAGGACUGCUUCUAGCACUAAUAUUGUUGGAAGUUGACGUUACCUUCAGAAGAAGCACCGGCUAACUCCGUGCCAGCAGCCGCGGGUAAUACGGAGGGUGCAAGCGUUAAGCGGAAUUACUGGGCGUAAAGCGCGCGUAGGCGGCUAGAUCAGUCGGGUGUGAAAGCCCCGGGCUUAACCUGGGAACUGCAUCCGAUACUGGCUAGCUUGAGUACAGGAGAGGAGAGUGGAAUUCCACAUGUAGCGGUGAAAUGCGUAGAUAUGUGGAGGAACACCAAUGGCGAAGGCAGCUCUCUGGCCUGAUACUGACGCUGAGGUGCGAAAGCGUGGGGAGCAAACAGGAUUAGAUACCCCCGUAGUC
Molecule: ribosomal RNA, 466 nt
Filed under: uncultured bacterium
Lineage: Bacteria
Description: partial 16S ribosomal RNA
Rfam family: Bacterial small subunit ribosomal RNA
Source: RNAcentral